Molecule: ribosomal RNA, 737 nt
Filed under: uncultured bacterium
Lineage: Bacteria
Description: bacterial SSU rRNA
Rfam family: Bacterial small subunit ribosomal RNA
Source: RNAcentral
AGAGUUUGAUCCUGGCUCAGGAUGAACGCUGGCGGCGUGCUUAACACAUGCAAGUCGAGCGGGAAAUUUCUGACUGAUUCCUUCGGGAUGAAAUCGGAAAUGGAGAGCGGCGGAUGGGUGAGUAACGUGUGGGAAACCUGCCCUGUACAGGGGGAUAGCCUCGGGAAACCGGGAUUAAUACCCCAUAAUGUUUCUUUAUCGCAUGAUUUAGAAAUCAAAACUCCGGUGGUACAGGAUGGUCCCGCGUCCCAUUAGCUAGUUGGUGAGGUAACAGCUCACCAAGGCGACGAUGGGUAGCCGGCCUGAGAGGGUGAACGGCCACACUGGAACUGAGACACGGUCCAGACUCCUACGGGAGGCAGCAGUGGGGGAUAUUGCACAAUGGAGGAAACUCUGAUGCAGCGACGCCGCGUGAGCGAAGAAGGUCUUCGGAUCGUAAAGCUCUGUCCUAAGGAAAGAUAGUGACGGUACCUUAGGAGGAAGCCCCGGCUAACUACGUGCCAGCAGCCGCGGUAAUACGUAGGGGGCGAGCGUUAUCCGGAAUUAUUGGGCGUAAAGGGUUCGCAGGCGGCCUUGUAAGUCAGAUGUGAAAGACAGCGGCUUAACCGUUGUAAGCAUUUGAAACUGCAGGGCUUGAGUACAGGAGAGGAAAGCGGAAUUCCUAGUGUAGCGGUGAAAUGCGAAUCACUAGUGCGGCCGCCUGCAGGUCGACCAUAUGGGAGAGCUCCCAACGCGUG